ACGGGUCCCUCUCCGCCCGGGGGCGGAAUGAGGAAGUCCCCUGUCUCCUGGCCAAGGUAAUGGAGACGAGGCCAAACACAAAACACCCGGGGCGCAGCUGGAGCUCUUCCUGUUGGCAAAUGCUUUACAUGAGAUCGCUUGAACCACUGAACAGGAAACUGGUCAUCUGACCAGACCCGUGGGAAUCGGGAGAUGCAGGAGGCGGAGACGACGCUGCGGGACCGUCUGACAAACGCAGAACCGGGGCGUUUCCGGGAAGACGGGCCGUGUCUCCAAAAAGCCCGAGCUGUACCUCAUGGCGCUUAGACUCCGGAGCGAAAGGACUGGUCAGGUGUGGACCCGCCCAGACCCCCUUGGAAGCACAGACCUGCCCUUCCCGAAGGAGGACCGAGAUGGGGUGAACCAUCCGUCUCCCAGGCCAGGAGCCGGGUUCCGAGCAAGGCCACCGUGAAGCGAACGCCAUCGGUCCUUCGGGGGUGGCGGGAAACAGCUGUAAAUGCGGUUUUCCCAAAGCUGCUCUCCGGAGGCGUCUCAGCCGAAGCCGGACGGGUUCUUUCCGCUCCCCGUCCUGCACUCUCCUUCUAGCUGCUGCUUUGCGGGAGUUCGUGGAAAGCCUUGUGUGGGUGGUAGAGUGGGCCAUCCUUUGGGGGUCCCUACGGGGUGGAGGGUCUGUAGUCAGAUGUAGGACCCUGUCGCCCCGCCACGGGCCUCCCCAGCUGUUGGUGCGUGGUGAGUCAUUAAGGCUCAGUAGAAUGCCCUCAACUUUGAAUAUUCAAGAAAUAAAACACCGCGGGGUUUAUGCCGAUGGA
Molecule: long non-coding RNA, 809 nt
Organism: Mustela lutreola (European mink)
Lineage: Eukaryota; Metazoa; Chordata; Mammalia; Carnivora; Mustelidae
Exons: 3
Source: RefSeq, a predicted model, not a curated record